AUGUCAAAGCUUGAUACGCACCUGAAUCGGCAGUUACAUACAGACCAAUAGUAUAUUAGUACAUAUGCCGGUUUGGGUUCGUAUCAAACUAUGAUAUAC
RNAcentral lists this microRNA precursor (99 nucleotides) under Nicotiana tabacum (common tobacco). RNAcentral describes it as "miR6149a stem-loop (nta-MIR6149a)". It matches the Rfam family "MIR6149 microRNA precursor family". The record is from miRBase by way of RNAcentral. Lineage: Eukaryota; Viridiplantae; Streptophyta; Magnoliopsida; Solanales; Solanaceae.